AUCGGUCGGCUACGGGACGGGGCCGAGAGCAGCAGUAGGAGAAGCGAUAAGCCCUUCAAUCUACUCCUCAAAGCAGGAAUGGAGGGCCGCUUUCUUAAUAAUUCAAAUAGAUAGUUCUGCUCACAUCAAGGGAACCUCUUCAUUAACUGAGAAGCUCAUUGGCUCGCCUUUGACUCUAGCCUCUCAUUUAAUUCGCUACUUCGUCAACUUCUCAGUCCCUCGUGAGUGUGGCAC
This 234-nucleotide long non-coding RNA is filed under the name Solanum tuberosum (potato). Its description in RNAcentral is "long non-coding RNA (STUB_LNC008151)". Lineage: Eukaryota; Viridiplantae; Streptophyta; Magnoliopsida; Solanales; Solanaceae. The record is from RNAcentral.